GUGGGGAAUAUUGGACAAUGGGGGGAACCCUGAUCCAGCCAUGCCGCGUGUGUGAAGAAGGCCUUUUGGUUGUAAAGCACUUUAAGCGAGGAGGAGGCUACCGAGAUUAAUACUCUUGGAUAGUGGACGUUACUCGCAGAAUAAGCACCGGCUAACUCUGUGCCAGCAGCCGCGGUAAUACAGAGGGUGCAAGCGUUAAUCGGAUUUACUGUGCGUAAAGCGCGCGUAGGUGGCCAAUUAAGUCAAAUGUGAAAUCCACGAGCUUAACUUGGGAAUUGCAGUCGAUACUGGUUGGCUAGAGUAUGGGAGAGGAUGGUAGAAUUCCAGGUGUAGCGGUGAAAUGCGUAGAGAUCUGGAGGAAUACCGAUGGCGAAGGCAGCCAUCUGGCCUAAUACUGACACUGAGGUGCGAAAGCAUGGGGAGCAAACAGGAUUAGAUACCCGAGUAGUCC
RNAcentral lists this ribosomal RNA (451 nucleotides) under uncultured bacterium. RNAcentral's name for it is "partial 16S ribosomal RNA". It matches the Rfam family "Bacterial small subunit ribosomal RNA", at positions 354 to 796 of the family's 1533-position model. The record is from RNAcentral.